Molecule: ribosomal RNA, 406 nt
Filed under: uncultured bacterium
Lineage: Bacteria
Description: partial 16S ribosomal RNA
Rfam family: Bacterial small subunit ribosomal RNA
Source: RNAcentral
AUUGAACGCUGGCGGCAGGCUUAACACAUGCAAGUCGAGCGAGCGGCGGACGGGUGAGUAAUGUCUGGGAAACUGCCUGAUGGAGGGGGAUAACUACUGGAAACGGUAGCUAAUACCGCAUACUAUCGGAUGAACCCAUAUGGGAUUAGCUAGUAGGUGAGGUAAUGGCUCGCAUAGGCGACGAUCCUUAGCUUGUCUGAGAGGAUGAUCAGCCACACUGGGACUGAGACACGGCCCAGACUCCUACGAGAGGCAGCAGUGGGGAAUAUUGCACAAUGGGCGCAAGCCUGAUGCAGCCAUGCCGCGUGUAUGAAGAAGGCCCUAGGGUUGUAAAGUACUUUCAGUCGGGAGGCGUUACCGACAGAAGAAGCACCGGCUAACUCCGUGCCAGCAGCCGCGGUAAUUC